UGAGCUCAGACAAGGCUACCCGCUGAACUUAAGCAUAA
RNAcentral lists this ribosomal RNA (38 nucleotides) under Chodatodesmus australis. Its description in RNAcentral is "partial 28S ribosomal RNA". The record is from RNAcentral. Lineage: Eukaryota; Viridiplantae; Chlorophyta; Chlorophyceae; Sphaeropleales; Scenedesmaceae.